Molecule: long non-coding RNA, 1336 nt
Organism: Neogale vison (American mink)
Lineage: Eukaryota; Metazoa; Chordata; Mammalia; Carnivora; Mustelidae
Exons: 4
Source: RefSeq, a predicted model, not a curated record
CCGAGCUCACUGAGCCUGGGACCGGUUCAAGAUGUUAUUUAUUUUAUUCAGAAUCAGAAGCACAAACCCGGGCUCCACUAAUCUGGAAUCAUCUCACUGUGUAGGAAGGUCCUAUUGAAGGUCUCACUGAUUUCUUCCAUUGUUUUCUCCAGCCUGGACUGGUGUGGGCUUCAGAACCCCCAGAUUGCUGAGGUUACCAACUUCCUGUGAUGACCAAGCCAACCAGUUAUGGAGUCAAGAAUGACCUUAAGGGAACAGGACUGUCCAGUUAUGUUGUCUGAAUCUGUCCCUUAUGGUGGUCAAAUCCUGCUCUUGUAGGCCCUUGAAGUGGAGAAAGAGAGAGUAUUCCUGCAGACCCCUGGCCCCUCCAUAAGGUGGUUUUUCUUCUGUAACCAGUACAUAUAAGGUUGGGAUGGGAUUAUGGACACUGGGCUCAUGGAAGUCACAACCCCAGAGUCUACCUGACUUGUCUUCCAGGGUGUCUGAACUCUGCUCUGGUCCAGGCUCCCAAGACGGGAUGGAGACAUAAACCAUGUUACUUUCCAGUUCCUCUGACCUAGAGAGCUUUCUCUCAGGUCCUCUAGUGUUUGGCAAAGUUCUAGUGUUGUCUCCUUUAUAUACUGAUUGUUCUUUUAGACCAAUUUUUUUCCUAUGCCCAAGGACAGAAAAAUUCAUUCCCAGUACCUCAGUACCAUCCCUCCCCACUCUGUUUGUAGUAUUGAGGGUGGAGUUUCCCUUUGUUACUGUAUCUCCAUCUCUCUUGCUGUUACCCAGCCAUACUUUCUGUCUUUGAUUGUUCAAUAGCUUUUGAAUCAGCCCUCAGUUCUUCUUCCAGAGGAAUUGACCUAUUAAUAUGUGUAGUUUGGAGUAUUCUGUGGAGAAAGUGAGUUCAGAGUUUUCCUACAUCACCAUCUUGAAAUGGAAUCCUGGAAAGACUAAUCAUCUGUACUUCAAUCACUCUCAUCCUUGUAACUAUCUUUAGCAUUUUUCUUUAAUACUCUGCAUAUAGCUCAUGGUUAGGUCUUUUUGCCUUUUUAUUUAAAAUAUAUCAGAAAAUCAACAAUUUCUUUCCAACUUUACCUCUACCUACAUAGCUAAAUUACUGUCAUAUCCAAACUCGUCUCUUGUAAUUUUAUCUUAAUUGGAUUUCUCUCUUCCAUUUUGAGCCCCUGUAGUCUUUUUCUACAGAAAAGUCAUUAGGAGCCUUCUUUAACAUAUCAGUUCACCAGUUUCUCAGGUCUUAGGGAGUGCAUUUUAUACAACAAUAAUAAUAAUAACAACAAUGACUAAUUGUUAUAUAGCUCUUAUUAUUUUCCAGGCAUUGUUCUAAUUUAUA